GACGAACGCUGGCGGCGUGCCUAAUACAUGCCAGUUGAGCGCUGAAGGUUGGUACUUGUACCAACUGGAUGAGCAGCGAACGGGUGAGUAACGCGUGGGGAAUCUGCCUUUGAGCGGGGGACAACAUUUGGAAACGAAUGCUAAUACCGCAUAAAAACUUUAAACACAAGUUUUAAGUUUGAAAGAUGCAAUUGCAUCACUCAAAGAUGAUCCCGCGUUGUAUUAGCUAGUUGGUGAGGUAAAGGCUCACCAAGGCGAUGAUACAUAGCCGACCUGAGAGGGUGAUCGGCCACAUUGGGACUGAGACACGGCCCAAACUCCUACGGGAGGCAGCAGUAGGGAAUCUUCGGCAAUGGACGAAAGUCUGAACGGGCAACGCCGCGUGAGUGAAGAAGGUUUUCGGAUCGUAAAACUCUGUUGGUAGAGAAGAACGUUGGUGAGAGUGGAAAGCUCAUCAAGUGACGGUAACUACCCAGAAAGGGACGGCUAACUACGUG
RNAcentral lists this ribosomal RNA (497 nucleotides) under uncultured bacterium. RNAcentral describes it as "partial 16S ribosomal RNA". It matches the Rfam family "Bacterial small subunit ribosomal RNA", at positions 28 to 507 of the family's 1533-position model. The record is from RNAcentral.